ACUCAAAUGAAUAGACGGGGGCCCGCACAAGCGGUGGAGCAUGUGGUUCAAUUCGAAGCAACGCGAAGAACCUUACCAACCUUUGACAUCCCGGUCGCGGGUACCAGAGAUGGAACCCUUCAGUUCGGCUGGACCGGAGACAGGUGCUGCAUGGCUGUCGUCAGCUCGUGUCGUGAGAUGUUGGGUUAAGUCCCGCAACGAGCGCAACCCUCGCCCUUAGUUGCCAUCAUUCAGUUGGGCACUCUAAGGGGACUGCCGGUGAUAAGCCGCGAGGAAGGUGGGGAUGACGUCAAGUCCUCAUGGACCUUACAGGUUGGGCUACACACGUGCUACAAUGGCGGUGACAGUGGGAUGCAAUGGAGCAAUCCUGCGCAAAUCUCAAAAAGCCGUCUCAGUUCGGAUUGGGGUCUGCAACUCGACCCCAUGAAGUCGGAAUCGCUAGUAAUCGUAGAUCAGCACGCUACGGUGAAUACGUUCCCGGGCCUUGCACACACCGCCCGU
RNAcentral lists this ribosomal RNA (501 nucleotides) under uncultured bacterium. RNAcentral's name for it is "partial 16S ribosomal RNA". It matches the Rfam family "Bacterial small subunit ribosomal RNA", at positions 899 to 1397 of the family's 1533-position model. The record is from RNAcentral.